This 718-nucleotide unclassified non-coding RNA is filed under the name Hevea brasiliensis (rubber tree). Lineage: Eukaryota; Viridiplantae; Streptophyta; Magnoliopsida; Malpighiales; Euphorbiaceae. The record is from RNAcentral.
GUUUGGUCAACUUUUUAACCUAAAAUGGAAUACAUAAUUAAAAAUGUAUUACCCACUAUUUUAGUAAUUACAAUGGUGAUUAAAAAUGUUAUACAGAAAAAUUUAAUGACACAAAACAUGGUAAAAAAAUGUCUUGGUCAAGUUUCUCAAACUUGUUUUUGCAAUUCAAAGUAAAUAAUUAUGGCUUUAACAUCUUUGCCAAUACUUUUUCUUUUUAAUUUCCUUUUCUUGCAAUAAGUAUCAUCACUUUAUCAAUAACUUAACUUUAUAAAUUUUAUUAAGUAAUUAAAUGGUUCAUUUCAAAUGCACUCCAUGUCAUUCCUUUCCUCAUCCUAUAACAUUCUCCAUUGCAUUCAUUACAUUCUAAGUCCAAACAUGACAUAUGGCAUUUACAUCUGAUUGCUUUGUUGUUUCCUUUCUUUUUCUUUUUCUCCACAGCUAUAAUGCUCACAACAAACACCAAAGAAGGCAUUUGGCGAUGCAUUUCCAUCUAUUUUCAUAAUUGGUACAAUAAAAAUUUUAGAACAAGUUAAAAGAACAAAGCAUUGUAUACUACAUUUUCAAAUUUUCAUAAAUCAUUCCAAGCUAUAAGAAUAAAGAACCAUCACAUGUCCAACUUCCCCUGUAGGUCUUCAUUUCAAAUAGCACCUUUCUCAUUUGUUUUACAGUUUUCCCCAAACCAAGCAUGGUAAAGAAAAAUUAGAAAAGUAUCUUUGAA